GACGAACGCUGGCGGCGUGCCUAAUACAUGCAAGUUGAGCGCUGAAGGUUGGUACUUGUACCAACUGGAUGAGCAGCGAACGGGUGAGUAACGCGUGGGGAAUCUGCCUUUGAGCGGGGGACAACAUUUGGAAACGAAUGCUAAUACCGCAUAAAAACUUUAAACACAAGUUUUAAGUUUGAAAGAUGCAAUUGCAUCACUCAAAGAUGAUCCCGCGUUGUAUUAGCUAGUUGGUGAGGUAAAGGCUCACCAAGGCGAUGAUACAUAGCCGACCUGAGAGGGGGAUCGGCCAAAUUGGGACUGGGACACGGCCCAAACUCCUACGGGGGGCAGCAGUAGGGAAUCUUCGGCAAUGGACGAAAGUCUGACCGAGCAACGCCGCGUGAGUGAAGAAGGUUUUCGGAUCGUAAAACUCUGUUGGUAGAGAAGAACGUUGGUGAGAGUGGAAAGCUCAUCAAGUGACGGUAACUACCCAGAAAGGGACGGCUAACUACGUG
Molecule: ribosomal RNA, 497 nt
Filed under: uncultured bacterium
Lineage: Bacteria
Description: partial 16S ribosomal RNA
Rfam family: Bacterial small subunit ribosomal RNA
Source: RNAcentral